Molecule: non-coding RNA, 260 nt
Organism: Delphinapterus leucas (beluga whale)
Lineage: Eukaryota; Metazoa; Chordata; Mammalia; Artiodactyla; Monodontidae
Source: RefSeq, a predicted model, not a curated record
UCCAGAGGAACCAUCAAGGAUGUAGACUCAAACUGCCAACCAAGGAGCCUCAAGUUAUUUGGACCACAUUCAAAGGACUGUGUAUUGAAAAUGGCUUCCUAGUUCUCUGCACUCAAUUAUUCUAACAUCAAGAAAGAUCUCUCUAAAGGCAGAGUAAUGAAGACAAGCAGCAGACUGCAAGAAGCAGUCUGUAGGACCUCCCAUACGUAAGAAAAGGACCAUACAUUCAGGACACUUAGAAUGACCUAAAUAUUGUGAAA